This is a non-coding RNA of Ctenopharyngodon idella (grass carp), 561 nucleotides long. Lineage: Eukaryota; Metazoa; Chordata; Actinopteri; Cypriniformes; Xenocyprididae. The record is from the annotation of a RefSeq genome assembly.
CUACAACCAACAAAAAUGACUUUCAGCACCAUAUUGAUCUGGACGCUGGCAGUAUUAUGUCGAGAAUCUGUUGGUCAGGUGACAGUGACUCAAACUCCCUCAGAGCUGCUCUCUCAAACUGGACAAUCAGUCACUGUGACCUGUAAAUUUAACAGAGAUCCAGUCUCCUGUCCUUAUUAUUAUUUAGCCUGGUACUUACAGAAACCUGGAGAAGCUCCUAAACUCCUGAUUUAUGCAACAAACCUCCUCCAGUCAGGAACUCCAUCUAGAUUCAGUGGCAGUGGAUCUAACAGUGAUUUCACUCUGACCAUCAGUGGAGUCCAGACUGAAGAUGCUGGACAUUAUUACUGUCAGAGUUACCACUGCACAACAAGUUGGCUUGGUGGUUGUAAUGCUGAUUAUGUGUUCACACAGUGAUAAAGAGUCGUACAAAAACCUCCGUCAGUCAGAGUCACAGUGACUGAACUGAUACUGCAGCUGCUCACACACUUUCACACACUACUGACACACAGAGGACAAACACAGGAACUACACAUGUGCUCAAAACUGACUUAGGAGUGU